This is a long non-coding RNA of Daktulosphaira vitifoliae (grape phylloxera), 1335 nucleotides long. RefSeq lists it as uncharacterized. The record is from RefSeq and is a predicted model, not a curated record. NCBI's taxonomy places the organism in Eukaryota, Metazoa, Arthropoda, Insecta, Hemiptera, Phylloxeridae. The transcript is spliced from 3 exons.
CAUUUAUAAUUUUCAACUUGAUUUAUUAUUAUCGAAACUUAAUUUUGACAUUAAAACUGCACUACUAUCGCAACAAUCCAUCGCGUUGAAGUCAGCAAAAACAAAUGUCGUCUAUUAGAUAGUUUAUGUAUUCAACAGCAACUACAGCUUUGCUCGAACAUACGACCAAAGUCUUUAACGCAUAAAUUAUAUAUUGUCUAUAAACAAUGGUAUACUGUUCGUUAUACUUGUAUGGUUACAAUGAGAAUUGUUAAUCUAUCAAGGAAACCGAGGCGGAGGAUGAUGUAAUUUUACGGAUGAUGAAAAUCUAAUCGUGUUUCUAUCGUAGUAAUAUUAACUGUAUGCUGAAUUGUGUUAUGUAUUGCGAUUCUUAUUAAAACAUAAUUGUUGUACAUUAUUGUAUGGGGUACAACAAUAAUUACGGCAGUCGGCGGUGGUGCGUAAUGUGAUUGAACUCCCCUUCUUUUGGGGUAAGCCGCCAUUGCCGCGCACAACAGGUACCGCCGCAGAAGAGACGACCUCGUUGGUAAAUUGAUUUGCGGCAUUCAAUUAUUAUUAAAAUUACCAAAUCGUCAGCCAAACUUUGACGAGCUCGUUGAAAAGUAAUGUACUUAUAGACACAGCACAGCGAUAAUAAUUCCAACAUUGUUAUUAUUAUUAUAAGUCGAUGCGGAGUUGGUCGAAAACGGUUUUAAAUUAAUUUUCAGAUUUAACGACAAAAAGCCAACAACAAUAAUACAAUUUAAAUAACAUCAUCGGGAAAUUUAAUGCGCUUUCGAAACUAAAUAGAAAUCAGUUUCAUUCGGCAAUCUUAAAUAUUAAUAAUGCAUUGGAUUUUACUUAUGAAAAUUCAAUAUGACUGUUCAGAUUUUAUGGCUCUGGUGAAUCAAUCCUCUCGAUAGCAGCAAACACAAAAUACAUUUUAAAUCUAUUCAUAAAAUUAAAGUAACGCGGUACUUUAAUUUGAAAAAGUAACGAUCGGCUUCAGUCAUGUGAUACGUUUCUGUGUAAAUAUUUUCAUUCUUUGCUAGGAAAAAAUGCAUUAUUUACAUGAAUGACUGAGACACCUAAAUUACAUAAAGAUUUAUGAAAAGUCUAACAUAGAUUUUAUCUUGAGAAGGAAAUAGUCAAUAUUGUUAUGACUGGAUAAAAAAAGUAUUAUCAAACGACCAAAAAACUUGAAACAUAUUGGUUUGGUGCAUUUAUUUAAGUAUAUGAGAAUUAUUUAUAAGUUUGAAGUAAGUAAAGUUAAGUACAGUUGAAUUUUGUUUCGGCACUGUCAGCGUUCUGCGAUUGCAUCGACCAAAGUCUCCAAAUGCACACGAUAAACGAAAU